AUUUUCACCUGGAAUGACAAGAGUUUAAUUCCAGACUGAGAGAGGUCCUGUCUGAGGAAUUUUUACCGAGACUAACGGAGUUUUACCUCAGCCGGACAGGCCCAGAGCAGAGCAGGAACUGGAGACUGCGGCCUUAGGUUCUAGGGCUGCAAUGGUCAGUAAGUCUCGUAGCUGGUGAUUGGAAGAUAAGCAAAAAGUGUAAAGAUAGACAGGUUCCAGGCAAUUCCUUGGUGUUAUGAAGUCAGGAUCUUGCCUUGGUUUUGAUGACUUAGCUUCUGUUUGGUACAUCUGUUUUUGCAGAGUGUUUCAUGACUAAGUUCAGUAAAUGAUACUUAUUUGAAGAACUGGAUUUACUCAGGUUCAACCCUCCCAGACACAUACACACCAAAGGCUCUGACUCCAAAAUAACAGCAACUGGAUCCCUCUCCCUUUGGUGAGGUGGCCCUUGCCUUUGGGUGAUGCUGUGAGUUUUUUUCAAGACCUGGCUCGUGAAAGACUGGAUUUCCGCAGAAUGGCCCAGAGACUCACAACAUUAAAAAAAAAAA
This is a non-coding RNA of Vicugna pacos (alpaca), 545 nucleotides long. The record is from RefSeq and is a predicted model, not a curated record. Lineage: Eukaryota; Metazoa; Chordata; Mammalia; Artiodactyla; Camelidae.